Long non-coding RNA from Helianthus annuus (common sunflower), 321 nucleotides. RefSeq lists it as uncharacterized. The transcript has 2 exons. The record is from RefSeq and is a predicted model, not a curated record. NCBI's taxonomy places the organism in Eukaryota, Viridiplantae, Streptophyta, Magnoliopsida, Asterales, Asteraceae.
CACGUAUAUCAUCAGUUGACCGUGAUUGCUUAAGUGGUUAGGGAGGACAUGUCUACACUGUCUGGAUAAAGAAUGGGAGGCUUGACAAGAUUUGGAAAACCAAAUGUGAAGAAAGAAAGCUACGUGAGCAGGUUGAAGGAGAUUAAGGGGAGCAGCGAAUGCAAAAACAAUUGAAAGGUGUUAUGAGAAAAUUAGAUUAUCCGGGUACUUAAAGGUAGUUUUUUGUGUACUGUUUCGAUUAAUAUCUUAAAAAUUGUUAGUUUUGUAAUAUGUAAUAACUUGAGUUUAUGUUAUUGUAUCUGUGGUUAAUUUGUAAACAAA